UACGUAGGGAGCAAGCGUUAUCCGGAAUCACUGGGCGUACAGGGUGCGUAGGCGGGCUUGUAGGUCUGAUGUGAAAGCCCCGGGCUCAACCCGGGAAAUGCAUUGGAAACCCCAAGUCUUGAGGACUAGAGAGGAAGGCGCAACUCGUGGUGGAGCGGUGAAAUGCGUAGAUAUCACGAAGAACAUCUGUGGCGAAGGCGGCCUUCUGGAUAGUUUCUGACGCUGAGGCACGAAAGCAUGGGUAGCAAACGGG
RNAcentral lists this unclassified non-coding RNA (253 nucleotides) under uncultured Thermoanaerobacterales bacterium. RNAcentral's name for it is "contains 16S-23S intergenic spacer region". It matches the Rfam family "Bacterial small subunit ribosomal RNA", at positions 524 to 776 of the family's 1533-position model. Lineage: Bacteria; Bacillati; Bacillota; Clostridia; Thermoanaerobacterales. The record is from RNAcentral.